This is a non-coding RNA of Fulvivirga imtechensis AK7, 113 nucleotides long. Lineage: Bacteria; Pseudomonadati; Bacteroidota; Cytophagia; Cytophagales; Fulvivirgaceae. The record is from Rfam.
UGUGGCCCACCGAAGGCAAUCUACAGGGAUAGCCUUCAAACCACUCUACGGUGCUGUCCUGGUAACGGGGUGGUAUUGAGCGGAUAGAGAAAAGGUUCUUUAAUGAAUCAGGU